RNAcentral lists this ribosomal RNA (403 nucleotides) under uncultured bacterium. RNAcentral describes it as "bacterial SSU rRNA". It matches the Rfam family "Bacterial small subunit ribosomal RNA", at positions 355 to 776 of the family's 1533-position model. The record is from RNAcentral.
UGGGGAAUAUUGCGCAAUGGGGGCAACCCUGACGCAGCAAUGCCGCGUGCGGGAUGACGGCCUUCGGGUUGUAAACCGCUUUCAGUAGGGAUGAUGAUGACAGUACCUACACAAGAAGCCCCGGCUAACUACGUGCCAGCAGCCGCGGUAACACGUAGGGGGCGAGCGUUAUCCGGAUUCAUUGGGCGUAAAGCGCGCGCAGGCGGAUGCCUAAGCGGGACCUCUAAUCUUGGGGCUCAACCUCAAGCCGGGUCCCGAACUGGACAUCUCGAGUGCGGUAGGGGAGGUCGGAAUUCCCGGUGUAGCGGUGGAAUGCGCAGAUAUCGGGAAGAACACCGACGGCGAAGGCAGACCUCUGGGCCGUCACUGACGCUGAGGCGCGAAAGCUAGGGGAGCAAACAGG